CCUACGGGGCGCAGCAGUGAGGAAUAUUGGUCAAUGGGCGUAAGCCUGAACCAGCCAAGUCGCGUGAGGGAUGAAGGUUCUAUGGAUCGUAAACCUCUUUUAUAAGGGAAUAAAGUGCGGGACGUGUCCCGUUUUGUAUGUACCUUAUGAAUAAGGAUCGGCUAACUCCGUGCCAGCAGCCGCGGUAAUACGGAGGAUCCGAGCGUUCUCCGGAUUUAUGGGGUUUAAAGGGUGCGUAGGCGGCCUUUUAAGUCAGCGGGGAAAGUCUGUGGCUCAACCAUAGAAUUGCCGUUGAAACUGGGAGGCUUGAGGAUGUUUGAGGCAGGCGGAAUGCGUGGGGUAGCGGUGAAAUGCUUAGAUAUCACGCAGAACCCCGAUUGCGAAGGCAGCCUGCCAAGCCAUGACUGACGCUGAUGCACGAAAGCGUGGGGAUCAAACAGGAUUAGAUACCCGGGUAGUC
Molecule: ribosomal RNA, 460 nt
Filed under: uncultured bacterium
Lineage: Bacteria
Description: partial 16S ribosomal RNA
Rfam family: Bacterial small subunit ribosomal RNA
Source: RNAcentral